Molecule: ribosomal RNA, 57 nt
Filed under: Biatora hypophaea
Lineage: Eukaryota; Fungi; Ascomycota; Lecanoromycetes; Lecanorales; Ramalinaceae
Description: partial 28S ribosomal RNA
Source: RNAcentral
AAUUGACCUCGGAUCAGGUAGGGAUACCCGCUGAACUUAAGCAUAUCCAUAAACCGA